UUCAGCCGCGAUAGGUAGUCCCCAUCCAUUUGGCCCUGAAUGAGGUCGGCGGGCUUAUUUUCAUAAACCUUUACCGUCUCCAAGUACCGUCCGCAUUCUUCCAAACUCCAUCCACACAACAGAGUGCAAUCAUGAAGGAGAGAAGUUCUGGUAACUUCAAGUAAAGGCUUCAUAACAUCUUCAACAUCAACAUGGCACAAAAUUAUGCGGAGUCUAAAGUUCUUCUGCAACUCCCUUAUCCGAAAAUACAAGUAGUCUGGAUGAAGCAGGUGAUACCGGAGGCUAUUGCCAGAAACUAUAUGAU
This 304-nucleotide unclassified non-coding RNA is filed under the name Hevea brasiliensis (rubber tree). The record is from RNAcentral. Lineage: Eukaryota; Viridiplantae; Streptophyta; Magnoliopsida; Malpighiales; Euphorbiaceae.